This 155-nucleotide small RNA is filed under the name Jonquetella anthropi. RNAcentral also lists the same sequence under 1 other name. The record is from RNAcentral. Lineage: Bacteria; Thermotogati; Synergistota; Synergistia; Synergistales; Dethiosulfovibrionaceae.
AACGUCAAAUGAACGCGUUUCGGCCCAGGGAAGCCGGUGAAAAUCCGGCGCGGUGCCGCCACUGUGAGCUCGGGCCCCUCGGGGCCCGGCGAGUCAGACUGCUGGCCGGACGCGAGUCUUCGAUGGCCCGCGGCCUACGGGUAACUUCGAUGUUU